ACGCUCGACACCUAGGAGGCAGCAGUGAGGAAUAUUGGUCAAUGGGCGCUAGCCUGAACCAGCCAAGUAGCGUGAAGGAUGAAGGCUCUAUGGGUCGUAAACUUCUUUUAUAUAAGAAUAAAGUGCAGUAUGUAUACUGUUUUGUAUGUAUUAUAUGAAUAAGGAUCGGCUAACUCCGUGCCAGAAGCCGCGGUAAUCUGAGCGGGCUGGCAAGGC
RNAcentral lists this ribosomal RNA (216 nucleotides) under uncultured bacterium. RNAcentral's name for it is "partial 16S ribosomal RNA". It matches the Rfam family "Bacterial small subunit ribosomal RNA", at positions 328 to 539 of the family's 1533-position model. The record is from RNAcentral.